RNAcentral lists this unclassified non-coding RNA (1002 nucleotides) under Polistes dominula (European paper wasp). RNAcentral describes it as "tetraspanin-31-A, transcript variant X1". The record is from RNAcentral. Lineage: Eukaryota; Metazoa; Arthropoda; Insecta; Hymenoptera; Vespidae.
UCCUAUGUUCCGGAGAGCAGAGCACGUAGUGAUAUGCUCUCACAAGCUACUUGCUACAAUUGGAUAAUCUUUCGAUGAAGAAGGUCGAACGAUAAACGAAACGAAACGAAAGGUUUUAUUCGUAAACACCUUCUCAUAAGUUAUUCAAACCUAUUGACAAGUGAUAAGGUUUAUUGAUCAUUCAUUCAAUUUUAAUUACAAAUUCACGUGUAACUUUGUUUAAUCGGUCGGAAAUUGACCGAGUCCAAAGAUGUGCGGUGGUUUUACGUGUUCGAAAAAUGCUCUAACAGCCCUAAAUAUACUUUACAUUGUCGUUGCAUUUAUUUUAAUUGGAGUUGCUGUUUAUGGAAGAGCAUCAGCUUUGGUCACCAAUCUUCCAAUAAUUGGUGGAAUUUUAGCUUGCGGAGUUAUACUCAUUCUCAUUUCCAUUCUCGGAUUAAUUGGUGCUGUGAAACAUCAUCAAGUUUUAUUAUUCUUUUAUAUGCUUAUCUUGUUCCUUCUGUUUUUGAUUCAAUUCAGCAUUGCUUGUGCUUGUCUUGCUGUUAAUGCCAAACAACAAGAACAACUUGCCGAACAAGGAUGGAGACGAGUUGGAGAUGAUUUACGUGCUAAAGUAGAAGAAACUUUCCAUUGCUGUGGAUUUAAUGAUACUGUUAUUGAAACAGAUCCCUUGGCAUGCCACAAUACAAAUAAAACUUGCUGUCCUUAUUCUGAUCGCGAAUGCACCAAUCGAUGUCCAUUAUGUAUGCAAAAGUUGCAAUCUACGAUUGAUUACGCUUUCAAACUCUGUGGUAGUAUAGGAUUAUUUUUCAGUUUUACAGAGUUUGUUGGUGUUUGGUUGACCGUGCGGUACAGGAACCAGAAAGAUCCGCGAGCUAAUCCUAGUGCUUUUCUCUAGUCUAACACCAUCGCCAUGUCCUCUAUCUCCUCAUACGACCCUCCUAAUAGAUGGUGAUCGCAGCUUUUCUAGCAAAGCAUUUUAAAAAUCAGCUGGAUUCGCAA